GUGUCAGCAGCCGCGGUAAUACAGAGGGUGCUAGCGUUGUUCGGAAUUAUUGGGCGUAAAGCGCGUGUAGGCGGCCAGGCAAGUCGGGUGUGAAAGCCCUCAGCUUAACUGAGGAAGUGCGCCCGAAACUACUUGGCUUGAGUACCGGAGAGGGUGGCGGAAUUCCCGGUGUAGAGGUGAAAUUCGUAGAUAUCGGGAGGAACACCAGUGGCGAAGGCGGCCACCUGGACGGCUACUGACGCUGAGACGCGAAAGCGUGGGGAGCAAACAGGAUUAGAAACCCCCGUAGUCC
This 292-nucleotide ribosomal RNA is filed under the name uncultured bacterium. RNAcentral's name for it is "partial 16S ribosomal RNA". It matches the Rfam family "Bacterial small subunit ribosomal RNA", at positions 505 to 796 of the family's 1533-position model. The record is from RNAcentral.